UGCAGCCAGGCUGAGCGAUGGCGAGGUGGUUAAUCAUGGUGGCUGAGGAAACAUGGGGUCACUUCUCCCCCUUCCGCCUCCCGUGUGACGAGGACGGUGGGCACCGGCCACGGGGUGGGGGACCCGGACCCCGCACGGACCCGCCGGCGGCGACUCAGGUUUUUUGUUCCUCAUUGGAGCAAUGGUCCCAUGUCACUAUAGGACAUGAGAAAGCACAACACGAGCCACUGCGAUGACAAGCGUGUGCCGUGCUGGAGUGCAGAGAUCUGGGUUGUGGCAGCUCCUUUCCUUGCCGUGUUGAUGGAGGGUUCAAGGGCCUGACAUGCAGCUGAUCCCUGGGCCCUCAGUCAUUAUUCAAAUCCUUUGAAUUCAAGUCUUCUGCACAGGAGAGCUGUAUCUCAUCUGCCAUGAGCUGAGUAGCUUCAGAAAUUAGCUGUGGGAUUACAGAUAAACAUACACCAUCCAGAAAGUUGCAUUCCACCAAGUGAACCUCGCCUCCAAUGACCCUGAUGUUGUACAGCAGCAUCCUUCAGAAGGAAACACUUCCAGAGCAGGAGGGUGAUGCAGAACAGCUGGGAGCUCUGUGACACUCUCCAGGGAAGAUCUCCAUCUCCAUCUCCAUCAUCUCCAUCUCCAUCUCCAUCUCCAUCAUCUCCAUCUCCAUCUCCAUCUCCAUCUCCAUCUCAUCUCCAUCUCCAUCUCCAUCUCCAUCAUCUCCAUCUCAUGCCUGAAGCCACAGAGUGGUGCUUGCCUGCUGCCAGUGGAGGGAGUGGGGACCCUGUCUGGUAUGUUCAAUAGUGCAGCCAGCUGCAACAUCCCAGUGACAUCCCUGGUCACUCCUUGCCAGUUUUCAAAGGUGGGCAUUUCAAUGUAGAACAGUUCCUCAACCAUUCCAAAAGAAUCUCAGGACAUGUUGGUACAGAUCUUUAGCUUCUUGCCCUUGUGUUUGUACAAAUAUCUCAUUGCAGGUCCCCCACUGCAACUGAAAUAGUAGAAGCUGAUCUUUCCCCUGUUAUCAGUGCAAGAUU
This is a non-coding RNA of Lonchura striata (white-rumped munia), 1028 nucleotides long. Lineage: Eukaryota; Metazoa; Chordata; Aves; Passeriformes; Estrildidae. The record is from RefSeq and is a predicted model, not a curated record.